AAUUCACGCUUUCUCUCUUUCUUGAAAUUUUAUCCAAAACCAAAUUCCUCUUUUUUCUCCCCUUUCUUCAACAACCGACUACAGAGGAAUCGACUUACCACCCCCAAUCCUUCAUCACAGUCCACACCCACACCAUCACAUCUCUUCGCUGUCUUCCUCCGUCGUUGCUUCAUCAAAUGUCUGAGAUUAUGAUGGUAGAGCCCACUUGAAUUAGUAAAAAUUGAAGUAAUAUGUGGCAUCAGAAAUUCAUGAUUUAAGUCAAAAUACGAUAUCAAUGAGACCUCAUAAUUCUCGUGGAGGACCAGUUUCCGGGCCGGAUCACCUACUGAGGAACAUCGGUGCUGCAGAAGUUGAAAGACAAGUUUAAUGAACAUAAUCUUCUUGAGAGGGCUAACAAGUCAAUAUUUAAGCAGUUUUUCACAACACCACAAUUCAAAUUUUCAAGGACACUGAUACAUGGGCUGCUUAUGAGAAAGACACCAUCGAACAAGGUGCAUGAGGUACAGUUUCAUAUCGGAUGUGAACGGCUCCAGUUCAGGACAAUGGAGUUUGCGAUGAUCACUGGGGUGUCUUUCGAAGCACCAAACACUAAGAAAUAUGAGAAGCUAACUUUAAAAAGUGGAAGAAUAGUGGAGCUGUACUUCGAAGGCACUAACAGAAUUUUGUCAAGCGAAUUGGAGGAGGUCUUUAAGGAUUGCAAAGAUGGAUUUUAAGUCUGGACAUGGCUUUUUGAUCAUUCUUCAUUUGAGAUCAUCUUAUGUUGGUUUUGAGUGCUUUGAUUGUAACUAGCAACUACACAUAUUUAUAUUGGUUUUGAGUCCCUUGAUUGUAAUGGGAAUUUGAGAAAUGAGUUUUAAGUGAAUGCUUUUAUGCUAUAAUUUAGCU
Molecule: long non-coding RNA, 885 nt
Organism: Humulus lupulus (European hop)
Lineage: Eukaryota; Viridiplantae; Streptophyta; Magnoliopsida; Rosales; Cannabaceae
Exons: 4
Source: RefSeq, a predicted model, not a curated record